This 315-nucleotide ribosomal RNA is filed under the name uncultured eukaryote. Its description in RNAcentral is "partial 18S ribosomal RNA". It matches the Rfam family "Eukaryotic small subunit ribosomal RNA", at positions 1470 to 1796 of the family's 1831-position model. The record is from RNAcentral.
CCCUUAGAUGUUCUGGGCUGCACGCGCGCUACACUGACGCACGCAACAGGUGCCUGCUCCGAGAGGACUGGGUAAUCAUUUGAGUGUGCGUCGUGAUGGGGAUAGAAUAUUGUAAUUAUUACUCUUCAACGAGGAAUUCCUAGUAAGCGCCAGUCAGCAGCUUGCGCUGAUUACGUCCCUGCCCUUUGUACACACCGCCCGUCGCUCCUACCGUUGGGUGAUCCGGUGAAUGAUUCGGACUUCAGCGGCUCCCCUGGGGUGCGCCGGAGAAAGUUUUGUGAACCUUAUCACUUGGAGGAAGGAGAAGUCGUAACA